UAGGGAAUCUUCGGCAAUGGACGAAAGUCUGGCCGAGCAACGCCGCGUGAGUGAAGAAGGUUUUCGGAUCGUAAAACUCUGUUGGUAGAGAAGAACGUUGGUGAGAGUGGAAAGCUCAUCAAGUGACGGUAACUACCCAGAAAGGGACGGCUAACUACGUGCCAAG
This 166-nucleotide ribosomal RNA is filed under the name uncultured bacterium. RNAcentral's name for it is "partial 16S rRNA". It matches the Rfam family "Bacterial small subunit ribosomal RNA", at positions 355 to 512 of the family's 1533-position model. The record is from RNAcentral.